This 460-nucleotide ribosomal RNA is filed under the name uncultured bacterium. RNAcentral's name for it is "partial 16S ribosomal RNA". It matches the Rfam family "Bacterial small subunit ribosomal RNA", at positions 338 to 795 of the family's 1533-position model. The record is from RNAcentral.
CCUACGGGUGGCAGCAGUGAGGAAUAUUGGUCAAUGGACGAGAGUCUGAACCAGCCAAGUAGCGUGAAGGAUGACUGCCCUAUGGGUUGUAAACUUCUUUUAUAUGGGAAUAAAAUGUUCCACGUGUGGGAUUUUGUAUGUACCAUAUGAAUAAGGAUCGGCUAACUCCGUGCCAGCAGCCGCGGUAAUACGGAGGAUCCGAGCGUUAUCCGGAUUUAUUGGGUUUAAAGGGAGCGUAGGUGGAUUGUUAAGUCAGUUGUGAAAGUUUGCGGCUCAACCGUAAAAUUGCAGUUGAAACUGGCAGUCUUGAGUACAGUAGAGGUGGGCGGAAUUCGUGGUGUAGCGGUGAAAUGCUUAGAUAGCACGAAGAACUCAGAUUGCGAAGGCAGUUCACUGGACUGCAACUGACACUGAGGCUCGAAAGUGUGGGUAUCAAACAGGAUUAGAUACCCUUGUAGUC